UCUGGGAUUAGAUACCCUGUUAUUUAAAAUGUUUGUUUGUUUACUUGAGUAGUAAUAGUUAUGUUCUUUAAACUUAAAAAAUUUGGCGGUAUUUUAGUCUAUUCAGAGGAACCUGUUUUAUAAUCGAUAAUCCACGAUGUACCUCACUUAAAUUUGUUAAUUAAUUUGUAUACCGUCGUUAUUAGAAUAUUUUAUAAGAAUAAAUAAUUUUCAAUAGUUUUUAUAAAAAUUAAUGUCAGAUCAAGGUGCAGUUUAUGUUUAAGUAAUAAUGGGUUACAAUAAAUUUAUUUAUAUGGAUAUAAUUAUGAAAAAAUUAUUGAAAGUGGAUUUGAUAGUAAAAUUAAAUAGAUUAUUAAUUUGAUUAUAGCUCUAAAAUAUGUACAAAUCGCCCGUCACUCUCUGA
RNAcentral lists this ribosomal RNA (403 nucleotides) under Grossoseta pacifica. RNAcentral describes it as "partial 12S ribosomal RNA". Lineage: Eukaryota; Metazoa; Arthropoda; Insecta; Diptera; Platypezidae. The record is from RNAcentral.